RNAcentral lists this ribosomal RNA (2682 nucleotides) under Triticum aestivum (bread wheat). RNAcentral describes it as "partial small subunit ribosomal RNA". Lineage: Eukaryota; Viridiplantae; Streptophyta; Magnoliopsida; Poales; Poaceae. The record is from RNAcentral.
AUGCAUCCCGCCUUCCGCCGCUGCCUUCUCCUCUCCCUCGGCCUCAUCUCGGCCUCCCUCCUCGCGCCUCGGGCGGGCGCUGGAGAUGCCGCGGCAAUGCAGGCGCUGCGCCGGGGGCUGGCGCCGCCGGACUGGGCCGCCGCGCCGGCGGACCACUGCGCCUGGCGCGGCGUCACGUGCGGCGGCGCCCGCGAGGUCACCGCGGUCGAGCUGCCCCGCCGGGGCCUCCGCGGCGACUUCUCGGCCGCCGCCGGGCUCCGCGCGCUGGCGCGGCUCGAUCUCUCCUUCAACGCGCUCUCCGGGGCCGUCCCCGCGGCGCUCGGCGCGCUCGCCCGCCUCGAGCUCCUCGACCUCUCCAUGAACAGGCUCUCCGGCCCCAUCCCGCCCGCCCUCGGCCUCGCCGCCGGCCUCAAGUUCCUGAACCUCUCCAACAACGCCCUCUCCGGCUCCAUCCCCGACGAGCUCAGGGGCCUCAAGGAGCUCCAGGAAGUGCAGAUUUCGGCCAACAACCUCACCGGCGCCAUCCCCGGCUGGCUCGCCGGCCUCCCCGGCCUCCGCGUGCUCUCCGCUUACGAGAACGCGCUCUCGGGGCCGAUCCCGCCCGGGCUCGGGCUCUCGUCCAAUCUCCAGGUGCUCAACCUCCACUCCAACGGCCUCGAGGGGAGCAUACCGAGCAGCCUCUUCGACCUUGGCAAUCUGCAGGUUCUGAUCCUCACCGUGAAUAGGCUCAACGGCACCAUCCCGGAUUCAAUCGGCCGGUGCCUCGGCCUAUCCAACGUGCGCAUCGGCAACAAUCGCCUCGCGGGCGCCAUCCCGGCAUCCAUUGGCGACGCCACCAGCCUGACCUACUUUGAGGCCGACAGCAACCAGCUGUCCGGCAGCAUCCCCGCUCAGUUUGCACGCUGCGCCAACCUGACGCUGCUGAAUUUGGCCUACAACCGCCUUGUCGGCGAGGUGCCGGACAUGCUUGGGGAGCUGAGAAACCUGCAAGAGCUCAUCAUCUCCGGCAAUGGCCUCGGUGGCGAGUACCCGAGGUCCAUUCUGCGGUGCCGGAACUUGAGCAAGCUGGACUUGAGCUACAACGCUUUCCGCGGCGGCUUGCCAGACACCAUCUGCAACGGAUCCAGGCUGCAGUUUCUUGUGCUCGAUCAUAACGAGUUCUCGGGCAGCAUCCCGCACGGUAUCGGUGGCUGCAGCCGGCUUCUCGAGCUGCAGCUUGCCAACAACAACCUGAGUGGUGAGAUACCAGCCGAAAUGGGCAAGAUCAAGAGCUUACAGAUUGCGCUGAACCUCAGCUUCAAUCACCUUUCAGGGCCGCUGCCCCGUGAGCUUGGGCGGCUCGAUAAGCUCGUGGCGCUGGAUUUAUCUAGCAAUGAGAUAUCUGGUGAGAUCCCUGCUGACAUGAGAGGGAUGCUGAGCUUGAUAGUAGUCAACCUGUCAAACAACCGGCUCCGUGGUGCCAUACCGGUGUUCGGGCCGUUUCAGAAGAGUGCAGGGUCCAGUUUCUCCGGCAAUGCCAAGCUGUGCGGCGACCCGCUGGAUGUGGACUGUGGACCGAUUUAUGGCUCCAAUUAUGGAUCGGACCACAGGAAGAUAUCUUACAGGGUGGCCCUGGCAGUUGCUGGGUCCUGCGUGCUCAUCUUCUCAGUGGUAUCAUUGGUGGUCACGUUGUUCAUGUGGCGUGAGAGGCAGGAGAAGGAGGCCGACGCAAAGAAGGCCGAGGCAGGGGAGGCGGUCGUCGUCGAAGCGAGGCAUGUCAUGGCUUCAAGUGUGUUCAUUGAGAGCUUGCAGCAGGCCAUUGAUUUCCAGACCUGUGUCCAGGCGACGUUCAAGGACGCCAGUGCACUGAGGAGCGGCACGUUCAGCACGACCUACAAGGCUGUCAUGCCAUCAGGCAUGGUGGUGUGUGUGAAGAAGCUGAAGUCGGUCGACCGCGCGGUCGUCCACCACCAGGCCAAGAUGAUCCGGGAGCUCGAGCGACUCGCGCACAUAAACCAUCCCAACCUUGUGCGUCCCAUUGGGUAUGUCAUCUACGAGGAUGUUGCGUUGCUGCUGCAGUAUGACAUGCCGAAUGGAACAUUGCUUCAGCUGCUGCACGGUUCAAACAACUGUGAUGGUGACCAAGAGAAGCCUGACUGGCCAAAGCUGUUGUCAAUCGCGAUUGGCGUCGCCGAAGGGCUGGCCUUCCUCCACCAGAUUGCCACCAUCCACCUCGAUAUUUCUUCGGGUAAUGUCUUCCUUGACUCGCACUACAACGCGCUUCUUGGCGAAGUUGAGAUCUCCAAGCUGCUGGACCCUUCAAAGGGCACUGCCAGCAUCAGCGCGGUAGCUGGCACAUUUGGUUAUAUACCUCCAGAGUAUGCCUACUCAAUGCAGGUUACUGUACCAGGAAAUGUGUACAGCUUCGGGGUACUGCUGUUGGAGAUCCUGACGUCCAAGAUGCCGGUGGACGAGGAGUUUGGCGAGGGUGUGGACCUUGUCAAGUGGGUGCACUCUGCGCCGGAGAGGGGGGAGACGCCGGAGCAGAUCAUGGACCCGAGGCUGAGCACCGUGUCGUUUGCGUGGCGGAGGCAGAUGCUCGCCGUGCUCAAGGUCGCGAUGCUAUGCACGGAGCGCGCCCCGGCGAAGCGGCCCAAGAUGAAGAAGGCUGUAGAGAUGCUGCAGGAGGCCAAGAACAGCUGA